UACGGGGGGGGCAAGCGUUGUUCGGAAUUACUGGGCGUAAAGGGCUCGUAGGUGGCCAACUAAGUCAGACGUGAAAUCCCUCAGCUUAACUGGGGAACUGCGUCUGAUACUGGAUGGCUUGAGUUUGGGAGAGGGAUGCGGAAUUCCAGGUGUAGCGGUGAAAUGCGUAGAUAUCUGGAGGAACACCGGUGGCGAAGGCGGCAUCCUGGACCAACACUGACACUGAUGAGCGAAAGCCAGGGGAGAAACCGGG
This 253-nucleotide ribosomal RNA is filed under the name uncultured bacterium. RNAcentral describes it as "partial 16S ribosomal RNA". It matches the Rfam family "Bacterial small subunit ribosomal RNA", at positions 524 to 776 of the family's 1533-position model. The record is from RNAcentral.